Molecule: long non-coding RNA, 2706 nt
Organism: Branchiostoma floridae (Florida lancelet)
Lineage: Eukaryota; Metazoa; Chordata; Leptocardii; Amphioxiformes; Branchiostomatidae
Exons: 2
Source: RefSeq, a predicted model, not a curated record
UGUAGCUUUUACCAUUAUGCACAUGAAAAACAUAGUUUUAUUGCACUGGUAUAUACCAAAAUGCUAUAUAUUUUCUUGUCAAAAAAAUGUAAAAAAAAUGAAAGACAAAAACCCAAUGAUAUCAUCCAUAUGGUCCAAAAAAUUAUGUAGAAUUCUUUCAUGCCAAGCUAUCAAUAUUCUGUACAACUACCAUUCUUUCUAUUAGUAAAUUGAUUAAAGAAAAAGCAUUGGAAAGUUACAAUGCCAAUUUAGCCAGUGAGGAAGAAUUAACUGGCAGCUUGGAAAAUGUCUUUUGUUUCUAACUUUAAUUUUAGUUAUUGUGUUUUAAGAAACACAUUUUAUUAAUGAUUUUUUGCAGAACAUUCAAGUAGAACAAGACUUUCUGGCAUAAAUUUUGAAUGAAAAAGAAAGAAGAACUAACAUUUUAUGUUUUGUUUAAGUUGUAAUCUUUAGUGUAUAAUGCAAACCUUGUCUUGUUGUAAUGAAAUUUUCGCAUUGGUUUGAAAAUAUUAGUGAUAGUUGAUCAAUUGCAGUAUGAAGUAAGAAAAUCAUGAUCAACCCAACACAGUUUCUUUUUAGUUUGAAAACAACUGUCGUAACAGGUAUUUCAUGAUCACAGGUCCACAUAUUUGGAUAUUCUGACAGGAUUUAAGUGUUUAUGACUCCAAGUACAGCAUUUUUCCGAUUACAGUAUAUGCAAUAAAGGUAGUACUAUUCAUUGAACCUAGACAUUUGUACCAAUAUAUAUGGCUGAUGCCAUUGAGCAUCAAACCAUUCAAGGUCAUUCUUCCAGCUUGAUGCCAGCUAAUUGAAUUAAGUGUUGAUUAUAACUUCAGUUACAGGUAUUCAGUACUUCAAUGACAUCAUACUGAACAAAAAGGCAGCCAGUUCAGAACCAGACACCACGGCUCUUAAGUUAAAGAUAUUAAUUUUGAAACAGUGCUAAAACAGUGAGUGCUAAGUCAUUCUGAUUACCUACAAUUGCAAUAUUACAAUAUUUACUUUACAAAAGUAUGUUUUUGGAGGUUCCAAACUGGUUGCCGCAAUUAAUGUAGUACCUGUAAUCAACGUUUGAUUCAAGUACAGUAGAAGCCGCUAAAUCGCACUCCCCACUUGUGCAUUUAUCCGGAUGGUGCAACAAAGCAAAGUUAAGUAUUCAGCUGGACUGCACAACUACUGGACUUUGGGAUUCUGUGCAAUUAACAGAUUUAGUGUGCGGUUAUCCGUUGUGCGAUUAACUGGCUUCUACUGUACCUGGCAGUAGGAAUCAAGAGAGGGAGGUGUGAUCAUGUAUGAUAUUCUCAAUGUUGUAUUUUGGUAUCAUAGGCUCUUUAGGACUAGAAUAGAUGAUUGCAGUCAAUAACCUACCACAGUAGUAUGGACUGAAGUAUUACUGAGUGUCCUGUAGAAGAUAGCAUGUGACUUUUGUCCCUCAGGGAUUCAAUGUUUGUCCUGGUGAAUUCUUCCCAUUUUUAUGUUAGAUAAAGGACUGAUGUGUAACAAAAAUCUUAUAUGUAAUUAUAAGGCUUCAGAAGUGUUGAAAAUGUACAGGCUAAGGCUUGCAAUCAUGCAGUUCAGUGUUGAUAUCAGGCUUAAAUGUAUGUACACUGUCAGAUGGUGUUGUUUUAAGUUGCCAGACAGAUUGUAGCACAUAGGGGGCGCUAUUUGGUAUGCUGCAUGCACAAAUGUACAUAAGCUACACUGGAAUCUGUAAAGAUUCUUUCCAUUGUGAUGUGGAAAUUUUUGUUUAUUUGGGUGGGUGGAGAAUAGAUGUGGAGGUAGGGUAUGUAUAACUUCCUGUUGAUGGAGAGUGGUGUAAGUGUUGCUAGCAUUUUAACAAUUUGCCGUCUUCCGUUGGGAAAAUUGAAUGAUAUCCGGGAUUAUGUACAAUAGAGGUGCUUAGUAGCAUGUCUGGUGAGGAAAAAAUAUGAUAAAAAUGUAUUAAAAAAAUCAAUAUCUAAGUACUAAAUGUACCAAGUCAUUGUAAAGUCAUGUCGUUUAUUUGCAAAUGGUGACAAUUUCUAAGACUCUUUAUAGCUUAUACUGUGUCCCGCUCCAGUUUGUACAAGUGUGCAAUGUAAUUGCUUCAACAGUAUACUAUUAUACUGAAUAUCAGUAGAACAUGUUGUUGCUUGCUGUUGUGUGUCUUCAUGAAUGCAAUAUCCAUGAUAUAGAAGCAUGUCUCACGGUGCCUCAUAUUGUAACUGCAGUUGUAAAAAUGUUGCUUGAAAUACUGGGUUUAUUGUGCACUUUUCUGUGCCCAAAGUUAGAGCUGCACAUCUAAGUUUCUCACCAAGGGUGCAGAGAUGGACCUAGAUACUGUUUGUGUUAUUGGGUACCUUAAAUGUUGUCCACUUCUAUCCAGAAUCAUAUUUGUUCACACUUAUAAAUGUCACAAAAACUUUGUUGUAUUUUGAUUUUUGUUUAUGUUGUUUAUAUUCAUGCUUUGAGAUUUACCACAUUUUUAUACCAGACUGGUUUCACCAUUUGACAGUACAGAACGCCUACUGUAACUGUACAGUAUUAUUCAAUAUACCUUCUAUAGAUUGGCUCUGCUUUUAAAAUCAAGAUGUUGCAAAUCAAGAUGUUGCACAUUUUCCUUUGUUUGUUGCUUGACAUUAAUGAAAUGGUUGCAGGGAUAGCGAUUUUAAUAUCACCAUCUUCAAUGUCUUGUUUGCAUUAAAAAAAUGAUAAUCCCAACUAACA